This 86-nucleotide transfer RNA is filed under the name Candidatus Viadribacter manganicus. RNAcentral's name for it is "Caulobacteraceae bacterium OTSz_A_272 tRNA". It matches the Rfam family "tRNA". Rfam says of the family: Transfer RNA (tRNA) molecules are approximately 80 nucleotides in length. Their secondary structure includes four short double-helical elements and three loops (D, anti-codon, and T loops). Further hydrogen bonds mediate the characteristic L-shaped molecular structure. tRNAs have two regions of fundamental functional importance: the anti-codon, which is responsible for specific mRNA codon recognition, and the 3' end, to which the tRNAs corresponding amino acid is attached (by aminoacyl-tRNA synthetases). tRNAs cope with the degeneracy of the genetic code in two manners: having more than one tRNA (with a specific anti-codon) for a particular amino acid; and 'wobble' base-pairing, i.e. permitting non-standard base-pairing at the 3rd anti-codon position. Lineage: Bacteria; Pseudomonadati; Pseudomonadota; Alphaproteobacteria; Hyphomonadales; Hyphomonadaceae. The record is from Rfam by way of RNAcentral.
GGAGCCGUGGCCGAGCGGUAAGGCAGCGGAUUGCUAAUCCGUAGCACUCGAACGGGUGUCGUCAGGUUCGAAUCCUGCCGGCUCCG